CCUACGGGAGGCUGCAGUGAGGAAUAUUGGUCAAUGGUCGGGAGACUGAACCAGCCAAGCCGCGUGAGGGAGGAAGGUACAGAGUAUCGUAAACCUCUUUUGUCAGGGAACAAAGACUGGGACGCGUCCCCGGAUGAGUGUACCUGAAGAAAAAGCAUCGGCUAAUUCCGGCCCAGCAGCCGCGGUAAUACGGGGGAUGCGAGCGUUAUCCGGAUUUAUUGGGUUUAAAGGGUGCGCGGGCGGUCUGUUAAGUCAGCGGUAAAAGCCCGGGGCGCAACCCCGGCCCGCCGUUGAAACUGGCAGUCUCGAGUUGGAGAGAAGUAUGCGGAAUGCGCGGUGUAGCGGUGAAAUGCAUAGAUAUCGCGCAGAACUCCGAUUGCGAAGGCAGCAUGCCGGCUCCACACUGACGCUGAGGCACGAAAGCGUGGGUAUCGAACAGGAUUAGAUACCCUUGUAGUC
This 459-nucleotide ribosomal RNA is filed under the name uncultured bacterium. RNAcentral's name for it is "partial 16S ribosomal RNA". It matches the Rfam family "Bacterial small subunit ribosomal RNA", at positions 338 to 795 of the family's 1533-position model. The record is from RNAcentral.